UCCGCAUAGUCGAGACCGACCGCGACGAUGCGCUUGGACUGCUCCUCGACCUCGAGGCGGAGGUUCAGGCCUUCACGCGGAA
This 82-nucleotide transfer RNA is filed under the name Microbacterium oxydans. RNAcentral's name for it is "tRNA-Pro". Lineage: Bacteria; Bacillati; Actinomycetota; Actinomycetes; Micrococcales; Microbacteriaceae. The record is from RNAcentral.